RNAcentral lists this ribosomal RNA (301 nucleotides) under uncultured bacterium. RNAcentral describes it as "partial 16S ribosomal RNA". It matches the Rfam family "Bacterial small subunit ribosomal RNA", at positions 509 to 808 of the family's 1533-position model. The record is from RNAcentral.
CAGUCGCCGCGGUAAUACGUAGGGUGCAAGCGUUAAUCGGAAUUACUGGGCGUAAAGCGUACGCAGGCGGUUAUAUAAGUCAGAUGUGAAAUCCCCGGGCUCAACCUGGGAACUGCAUUUGAGACUGUAUGGCUAGAGUGUGUCAGAGGGGGGUAGAAUUCCACGUGUAGCAGUGAAAUGCGUAGAUAUGUGGAGGAAUACCGAUGGCGAAGGCAGCCCCCUGGGAUAACACUGACGCUCAUGCACGAAAGCGUGGGGAGCAAACAGGAUUAGAUACCCCCGUAGUCCCUGUCUCUAUACC